GAUAUAAUGGCAGGAAGAAGGUGCGUCUUGCUCUUUUGCUGGUUCCUGUUUGCUGUUUGCAGCAACCAUGAACUGCUGCCCAGCCAUGCCCGCCUGCCUUGGAGCCAACUGAGUGUGGACUGAAACCUCCAAAAACUCCAACUCCUGUGGAAAUGGUGUCCAAACCACUGGAUUUCAAGUUACAUUACUGCCAUACAACUGAUAACCGUGGAAAAGACCCAAAAAUAAGUUGAGAACAGCUAGCAAAGGAAGAUUGACAGUCUCUAGCAGCUAAUCCAAAUAUUUCAGAGAAAAUUCUCAUAAACAAGAGCUUUCUAAAAAGUCAUUUCCCAAGAUGGCACACACCUUUGGAAAAUGAACAAGAGCCGUCUGUGGGCUCCAGGCAAAACCACCUUUGGUCAUCUUUCAGGCUUAGUCACACGUCUUGAUUCUGUCACCUGCAAGCAUGAGAACUUGCUUUAGUGACAAUGGAAGUUGACACUCCACAAUGGUAUAAAAUUAUAGGCAAAAACUUUAAUUGGAAAGUAAGAGAGACGACAGGGAAAGGACUCUGGCUUGAGCAGCUGGCGGUAACAUAUCUCUGAUGAAGAGGAUCAGAUUGGCUCUUCCAUGCAAAGGAAUGGAAACCAGCUUUAUGGGGGAUCAAACUCAUGAUCUCGCAUUUGCCAAGCAGGCACUUAUGCCACUGAGCUAAACCCCCAGCCCAAACCUCUUCUCUUUUAAAUUAACCACCCAAUAGCUCUGCCUUAAUGUCCAGAGACAGUAAGCAGGGAGAGUUCCCAGCAGGCCUCAGCGUGCUGCCCCACUAAAUUGCUUGAUAUGUCCUUCGUUUCGUAUCUUCCUCCAAUCCUGGACAGAAACUGCAAUACACUGUUAUCAUUGUGUACCACUGAGUCAAAAUUUGUUUUAUUUCUAAGAUGUGUUGUGGAGAAACAAAGAAGCACUGUGGAAAAACUACGCAAGUGUAUGUAUGUCUACCUGUGAAAAUUUGUCUUUACUCAUUUAAAAAAAUACCUUCUUGUUCUGUAAUAGGUCAAGGUGACCAGGGAAGGCAAAGAUUCUAGAGAAUGAUAAGAUAUUUUCUAGUCUUGUGUUAUUCUCCAAGUCUAUUCCUCUGGGUGAAUGUUACAUACUUUUGGAACCAAGGAAUAUGUCUAUGUCGCAAAAUUUGUUUUAAUUAUAGAUUCAGCCAAGGAUGGGAACUUGACAACUAAUGUAGCUAUUGUUUGGAGCCCAAACUCAUAAUGCUUCUAACUAUAUUGUAAAUAAAGAGCUAAAACA
Molecule: long non-coding RNA, 1281 nt
Organism: Cavia porcellus (domestic guinea pig)
Lineage: Eukaryota; Metazoa; Chordata; Mammalia; Rodentia; Caviidae
Exons: 5
Source: RefSeq, a predicted model, not a curated record